RNAcentral lists this ribosomal RNA (253 nucleotides) under uncultured bacterium. RNAcentral describes it as "partial 16S ribosomal RNA". It matches the Rfam family "Bacterial small subunit ribosomal RNA", at positions 524 to 776 of the family's 1533-position model. The record is from RNAcentral.
UACAGAGGGGGCAAGCGUUGUUCGGAAUUACUGGGCGUAAAGGGCGCGUAGGCGGGAUGGCAAGUCGGUCGUGAAAUCCCUCGGCUCAACUGAGGAGCGUCGAUCGAAACUGCCGUUCUUGAGGGUUGCAGAGGAGACUGGAAUUCCCGGUGUAGCGGUGAAAUGUGUAGAGAUCGGGAGGAACACCGGUGGCGAAGGCGGGAUCCUGGGCCAGUACUGACGCUGAGGAGCGAAAGCGUGGGGAGCAAACAGG